This 530-nucleotide long non-coding RNA is filed under the name Sinocyclocheilus anshuiensis. RNAcentral's name for it is "lncRNA (ENSSANG00000000996.1)". Lineage: Eukaryota; Metazoa; Chordata; Actinopteri; Cypriniformes; Cyprinidae. The record is from RNAcentral.
UUAGAGGCCAUGCUGAAGCGACUGCAGGAUGACCUCCAAAAGUCCUUGCCCUCUUCGCUACUUCAAAGAGCCACUGCUACUUCACAGAGCCAAUCACACAGAGGGACUGUAGAGGUAGGGCGGGACAAGCAAAAGAAACCUGUCUUGUCAUUGAGCAGGGUGAACAGAGGAGAUGAGAAGAUUGCUGGAGGGACAAUGGGCAGCCAUGCUCACUCUCAACACUAACCCACCAAUGGCAGUUAAGGUGCAUUGCUAAUGUGACGAGAAGAAGAGCAAAAUGACUGGACUCUUGCCUGCACACACUCACGAAACAUGCCGGACUUGAACGAAAUGCACAGCACCACCGCAAAGGGAAACGAAAUGUUAAAUAACCAUCCUUCAGCAUUACUGUACAUCAUACAUGUCAUCUCCCCUUCAAAUGCUUUUAUUUUAGAGUCACUGUGAUAACCUGGUACCAGCAGAUUCUGAUGUAUUACAAUGAAAUCUAUAUAUCUUUAUUCCUCUCUGUGAAGAAGUGUAGAGCCAAAAUA